AGAGCGAACGCUGGCGGCAGGCCUAACACAUGCAAGUCGAGCGGCCGUAGCAAUACGGCAGCGGCAGACGGGAGAGUAACACGUGGGAACGCGCCCUUCGGUUCGGAAUAACUCAGGGAAACUUGGGCUAAUACCGGAUACGCCCUUACGGGGAAAGAUUUAUUGCCGAAGGAACGGCCCGCGUCCGAUUAGCUUGUUGGUGAGGUAACGGCUCACCAAGGCGACGAUCGGUAGCUGGUCUGAGAGGAUGACCGGCCUCACUGGGACUGAGACACGGCCCAGACUCCUACGGGAGGCAGCAGUGGGGAAUAUUGGACAAUGGGCGCAAGCCUGAUCCAGCCAUGCCGCGUGGGUGAUGAAGGCCCUAGGGUUGUAAAGCCCUUUCGGCGGGGAAGAGUAAUGACGGUACCCGCAGAAGAAGCCCCGGCUAACUUCGUGCCAGCAGCCGC
Molecule: ribosomal RNA, 449 nt
Filed under: uncultured bacterium
Lineage: Bacteria
Description: SSU rRNA
Rfam family: Bacterial small subunit ribosomal RNA
Source: RNAcentral